UAAAGCUGCACCAUGCGGAGCAUCUGGUUAAUAUUGUGCUUAAACCAUGAUUGUGACAACAUAUGAAAAGUGUGAGCUGACAGUCUGCUAAGUUUUUAUCCAUAAGUCUCAUUCUGACUUUCUAUCUGACAGGUUUUUAUGUGUCAAUAUUUGUGUUUCAAUAUAAAAGGAAGAUGUGGUAUGAUAAUUGAUUGUUAAUGAG
RNAcentral lists this long non-coding RNA (202 nucleotides) under Mytilus galloprovincialis (Mediterranean mussel). The record is from RNAcentral. Lineage: Eukaryota; Metazoa; Mollusca; Bivalvia; Mytilida; Mytilidae.